This 314-nucleotide unclassified non-coding RNA is filed under the name plant metagenome. RNAcentral describes it as "partial contains 5.8S ribosomal RNA, internal transcribed spacer 2, and large subunit ribosomal RNA". The stretch from base 1 to 105 matches the Rfam family "5.8S ribosomal RNA", at positions 50 to 154 of the family's 154-position model. The record is from RNAcentral.
GAAAUGCGAUAAUUAAUGUGAAUUGCAGAAUUCAGUGAAUCAUCGAGUCUUUGAACGCACAUUGCGCCCCCUGGUAUUCCGGGGGGCAUGCCUGUCCGAGCGUCAUUGCUGCCCUCAAGCACGGCUUGUUUGUUGGGCUUCCGUCCCUGGCAACGGGGACGGGCCCAAAAGGCAGUGGCGGCACCAUGUCUGGUCCUCGAGCGUAUGGGGCUUUGUCACCCGCUCCCGUAGGUCCAGCUGGCAGCUAGCCUCGCAACCAAUCUUUUUAACCAGGUUGACCUCGGAUCAGGUAGGGAUACCCGCUGAACUUAAGC